Long non-coding RNA from Gasterosteus aculeatus aculeatus (three-spined stickleback), 1950 nucleotides. The record is from Ensembl. NCBI's taxonomy places the organism in Eukaryota, Metazoa, Chordata, Actinopteri, Perciformes, Gasterosteidae.
AGGAUAAGGAGGCCCUCUGGGCACUACUGUAAAAAGGAGACUCCGUAUGUAUAGAUAGUUCUUAAUCAGUAAUUGUGUUGUUGUGUUGACAUACUUUUCUUUACUGUUUUCUUAAAUUUAAUAAACUAUAAACUACUAACACAUGUAUUCAUUGUCAUUGAUUGUAUGUGACUUUUACUGAUAACAUAAUGCAAUAUAGCCAGGACAGCCUUACAAGAGUCGCGACGCUUUGUGUUGCGUUGCUUCGCAUCGUGUCGAGGUCUGUAUGAUCACAAAAUUCAGAGUUCACCCACCUCUAAUUUUACCAUUACAGCACUGGGCGCACUGGCCUCCCUACCCGUUCGGUUGAGGAUAAAGACAGACUCGCCACAGCACGCAAAGUCAUGAUUGGGCUGGACAUAUGGACAAAAAAAGGGCUCACGGCAGCAUUUCUUGCCAUUAGUUCAUGCUAUUAUUGCACUCAAAACAGGGCAACACACAUACUGCUGAGGCUUGAGCAGAUCUCCCAUCCACAUACUGCAGAGUGCAUCAAAACAUGUGUGGGCCAAUGCACAGAGGACUGGGGAAUACCUAAAGAAAAAAUUCUGACUGUGAUAACAGACAACGGGAGCAACAUGGUUGCCGCUUUCAAAAAUGAAGAUGAUGAUGAGCCCAGCUCUGAGGAUGAUGAAGUCAAAAACUGUGAGGAAGAAUCUGAGGAGGGUGAUGAAGAGCAAAGGUACGGAGCCAUAAAGAGGACACCCUGCGUUGUACAUACGCUGCAACUCGUGGUGAACAUGAACAUAAUUAUCAGAAGCUGGCUGCUCUCAGAGACCUGCGCCUCCCCUUCGCAGAGCAUACUAAGAUGCUACAGAGCGACACCAUGUCCCUAUCCCUGGUGGUGCCCGCCCUCUUUGACCGGAGUGCUCACCUGUCCCACUUCCCCCAGAGCGCUGGCUACAGGGACCUAGCUGGCCUGGCUCAAAAAAUGAAGGCCAACAUGGAGCAGCGCUUCAGCUGCUUCCUUGAUCCAACGGAUUCAAAGUUCUCGCCCCUCGCCAUUGCUGCAUGCUUCCUGGAUCCAACUGUUUCACCUGAAACCCUCAUUGGGAAUGAGGACAUGCAAAUUCAGGAGCUUCUGAGAAGAGCAUAAGAUUACAUUUCUCAAACAAUAUCGCCACAGGAGGAGGAUGAUGAUUAUGAGGAGGAGGAAGAAGAGAGAAGGGAGGCACUCGAGACAUCCCCAUCUUCAAAGCGUCCAAGAUUCCGGUUCUUUUCAAAAACUGAUGCGUCGAACAGAGGGCUGGGGGCCGUUUUGUCCCAGCAGGUGCAGGGGGUGGACCGCCCGGUCCUCUACAUCAGCCGGAAACUGUCGGAGAGAGAGGCCAGGUACAGUACUGUGGAGAAAGAGUGCCUGGCCAUCCGGUGGGCGGUCGACUCCCUGCGGUACUACCUCCUGGAACGCCAGUUCACCCUCUCUUCGGACUAUGCCCCGGUGGCUCCACCGCAUGAAGGAUGCCAACGCCCGGAUCACUCGGUGGUAUCUGGCUCUACAGCCUUUUAACUUCAAGGUGAUCCAUAGGCCGGGGGCGCAGAUGGUCGUGGCAGACUUCCUCUCCCGCCCUCAGGAGGGAGAGGGGAGGGAGUCAGUUCGGCCGGAUGGCUCCCCGGCCUAUGUCGGGCGGUGGGGGUAUGUGAUGGCGGGGUGUGCUUAGCUCAGCUGCAGGGGGGGCUCUCCCCCCUGGGAGUGGUUCAGGGGACGGUGCCGGCAGGAGAGUAAGGAGAGUGCUCCUGCAAAGGUGGAAAUGAUCAGAACUGAUUGCGUGUCUCUUGAAAAGCAGUGAGCAGGACCUGGAGAGAAAAAGACUCUGCGGCAGACGCUCAGGGGCAAGAGAGCGGAGCGGAGCAGAGCCGAGGAGGACAACCACGCCAAACCCGCUCACUGCAAGGAAAUAAAAUAAAACAUAUUGC